Oncorhynchus nerka (sockeye salmon) is the source of this 2443-nucleotide long non-coding RNA. RefSeq lists it as uncharacterized. The transcript has 4 exons. The record is from RefSeq and is a predicted model, not a curated record. Lineage: Eukaryota; Metazoa; Chordata; Actinopteri; Salmoniformes; Salmonidae.
AUCCCAGAACAACAGCAAAUGACCUUGUGAAGAUGCUGGAGGAAACAGGUACAAAAGUAUCUAUAUCCACAGUAAAACGAGUCUUAUAUCAACAUAACCUGUAAGGCCACUCAGCAAGGAAGAAGCCACUGCUCCAAAACCGCCAUAAAAAAAGCCAGACUACGGUUUGCAACUGCACAUGUGGACAAAGAUUGUACUUUUUGGAGAAAUGUCCUCUGGUCUGAUAAAACAAAAAAAAACUGUUUGGCCAUAAUGACCAUUGUUAUGUUUGCAGGUAAAAGGGGAGGCUUGCAAGCCGAAGAACACCAUCCUAAACUGGGAAGCACGGGGUGGCAGCAUCAUGUUGUGGGGGUGCUUUGCUGCAGGAGGGACUGGUGCAAUUCCCAAAAUAGAUGGCCUCAUGAGAUAAAGAGAGCUAUGAAAGCCUGUCUACAUAUGAAGAGGUCCCAAAUGAAGAGCAGUGGUUCUCAGUCCUGGUCCUGGGGACUCAAAGAGGGGCACAGUUUUGUUUUUGCCUUAGCACUGCACUGCUGAUUUCUAAUGAUCAACUCAUCAUCAACUUCAAGUGAUACCUUGUAACUGGAGAUUCCUUCAAAACGAUUGCCUCCAGUUAACGUGUAGGGCACUGCAAGGUUUGGUGAUCAGGGCCAUCUGGGAAUGCCUCCUCAAAUCAACAGGUGUACACCUUACAGUAAAAAAUACACAACAGGUGUAAACAUUACAGUAAAAUGCUUACUUACAGGCUCUAACCAAUGGUGCCAAAAAAAGGUGUGUGUGUGUAGGUAAGUAAAGAAAUAAAACAACAGUAGAAAGACAUUUGAAAAAAGAGUAGCAUGGCUAUAUACAGACACCUGUUAGUCAGGCUUAUUGAGGUAGUAUGUACAUGUAGGUAUCGUUAAAGUGACUGUGCAUAUGAUGAACAGAGAGUAGCAGAAGCGUAAAAAGAGGGGUUGGCGGGUGGUGGGACACAAUGCAGAUAGCCCGGUUAGCCAAUGUGCGGGUUGGAGCACUGGUUGGUCGGGCCAAUUUAGGUAGUAUGUACCUGAAUGUAUAGUUAAAGUGACUAAGCAUUUAAGAUAAACAGAGAGUAGCAGCAGCAUAAAAGAGGGGUUGGGGGGGGCACACAAUGCAAAUAAUCCGGGUAACCAUUGGUUACCUGUUCAGGAGUCUUAUGGCGUGGGGGUAAAAACUGUUGAGAAGCCUCUUUGUCCUAGACUUGGCACUCCGGUACCGCUUGCCAUGCGGUAGUAGAUAGAACAGUCUAUGACUCUUGGAGGAAUUCAGGUGUGUGAAGGCUACCUCUGUCCUACAUAACUUCAUGAGGAUGGACACGAGGACCAGGAGUGGAUCUGCAGCUUGCGCAGCAAGAGAGGCAAUCCGUGUGCAGGAGAUCUUCACCUCCCACUUCUUUGAAGAGGGUGCUGUUCCCUGGCAUCACCGUAGACUACACUAUGCACAAUCAAAGGCUCUUUUAAGAGCCAUUCACAUUGCAAUAAGAGUAUUCUUCCAUUUACUUAACUAUGUCAACUGCAGUUAUUCAAUUUCCAGUUUCUCUCACUUUGAUUUUUACUUCUCAGGUGAGGGUGCUGUUUAGGUAAGGGUGUGAUGUCUGUACAAAAACAGGCUAUUUUAAAUGACCCAUAUUGAAAAAAUGUAGAACAAUUAGACGCCCUUUAACCCACACCUACACACUCAUGUAUCAAUCUGAUUGAUGGAUUGUUGUGCAGUAAGCAGGUUCAGGUGUAGAACUGUGGCUCCUUUCCCCUUCAAAGAAUAGGCAAGAUGGCCAACCAUGGAGAAUAGUAAGACUCUUCAUUAUUUCUAUAACUACGCUAUAUUGUUUGUGCCUGUGUGUCCGUUCAUGUUUUUCAGCAUAAAGUAUUCUGCAGCCACUUAGUGUGGCCACACACACAGAUUCCUGUUGAACGCUGUCUCUUUAACUACCUUAUUUUCUCAAUAACAGUCUCUCUCCUUCACUUCAUCCCUCUCUCCUCUUCUCCCUAAAUCUUCUAGGUUAUAUCAGCUGUGUCGGUGAACCCCUCCCGCAUCUAAACUGGCUACAUAGAGGGCACAGCAUGAUCAGAGAUAUGUUUUGAUGUGAGAGGAUGCCAACCCCCAGUCCCAUCAACGCCACCUCACCCGCUUUUAAGAUAACCUUCGGGUCGACUAGAGACACUAUGUAAUUGUGAUGAACUGAGAGAAUAUUAGGGUAGCACUGUGAUUCAUUAAUCAUUUUCUGCCUUCCCUGCUCCUAAGUUCUUACCUCUUUCCCUAUCUUUUACACCUCUCUCGCCACCUCUUUCUUCCUGUUUUUAUAAUGCACAACAAAUGUGCAUUGAAGUAAAGAUUGAACUUGUAUUUAUGAUAUUACAAUUAUAAUAUUUAUAAUGCAUGUACUUAUAACACUUGGAUAAUGAACUUCUUUCAAUAAAGCGUUUCACAU